CCCUUAGAUGUUCUGGGCUGCACGCGUGCUACACUGAUAUUGCCAAUAUGUCAUUCUUAUCCGAAAUGGAUUGGGUAAUCAAGUAAUGAAAUUUCAUGCUUGGAAUCGGUAAUUGCAAUUUUAUCGUGAACGAGGAAUUCCUAGUAAGCACUAGUCAUCAGCUAAUGUUGAUUAUGUCCCUGCCCUUUGUACACACCGCCCGUCGCUACUACUGAUUGGGUGUUCAAGUGAGAUGCUUAGACCCUUGUUGCAUGGUUCAUUAUUGUGCUCCGAAAGGAAAAAGUUUCAAGCUUGAGUGUCUAGAGGAAGUAAAAGUCGUAACG
Molecule: ribosomal RNA, 323 nt
Filed under: uncultured eukaryote
Lineage: Eukaryota
Description: partial 18S ribosomal RNA
Rfam family: Eukaryotic small subunit ribosomal RNA
Source: RNAcentral